GACGAACGCUGGCGGCGUGCUUAACACAUGCAAGUCGAACGGAAAGGCCCUGCUUUUGCGGGGUGCUCGAGUGGCGAACGGGGGAGUAACACGUGAGUAACCUGCCCUUGACUUUGGGAUAACUUCAGGGAACUGGGGCUAAUACCGGAUAGGAGCUCCUGCUGCACGGUGGGGGUUGGAAAGUUUCGGCGGUUGGGGAUGGACUCGCGGCUUAUCAGCUUGUUGGUGGGGUAGUGGCUUACCAAGGCUUUGACGGGUAGCCGGCCUGAGAGGGUGACCGGCCACAUUGGGACUGAGAUACGGCCCAGACUCCUACGGGAGGCAGCAGUGGGGAAUAUUGCACAAUGGGCGGAAGCCUGAUGCAGCAACGCCGCGUGCGGGAUGACGGCCUUCGGGUUGUAAACCGCUUUCGCCUGUGACGAAGCGUGAGUGACGGUAAUGGGUAAAGAAGCACCGGCUAACUACGUG
RNAcentral lists this ribosomal RNA (468 nucleotides) under uncultured bacterium. Its description in RNAcentral is "partial 16S ribosomal RNA". It matches the Rfam family "Bacterial small subunit ribosomal RNA", at positions 28 to 507 of the family's 1533-position model. The record is from RNAcentral.